GGCGGCACGCCUAACACAUGCAAGUNGAACGCAGUAGCAAUACUGAGUGGCGAACGGGUGAGUAUAAUGUAGGUAUCUGCCUUUUGGUUUGGAAUAACACGAGGAAACUUGUGCUAAUACCAAAUAAGCCUUCACAGGGAAAGUUUUAACGCCGAAAGAUGAGCCUGCACUUGAUUAGCUAGUUGGUAAGGUAAUGGCUUACCAAGGCUACGAUCAAUAKCUGUUCUUAGAGGAAGAUCAGCCACAUUGGGACUGAGACACGGCCCAAMCUCCUACGGGAGGCAGCAGUGGGGAAUCUUGCACAAUGGGGGAAACCCUGAUGCAGCGAUGCCGCGUGAGUGAAGAAGGCCUUUGGGUUGUAAAGCUCUUUCGUCGGGGAAGAAAAUGACUGUACCCGAAUAAGAAGGUCCGGCUAACUUCGUGCCAGCAGCCGCGGUAAUACGAAGGGACCUAGCGUAGUUCGGAAUUACUGGGCUUAAAGAGCACGUAGGUGGUUAAGAAAGUUGGUGGUGAAAUCCCAAGGCUCAACCUUGGAACUGCCACCAAAACUUUUUAACUAGAGUAUGAUUGAGGUAAGCGGAAUUUCUAGUGUAGAGGUGAAAUUCGUAGAUAUUAGGAAGAACACCAAUUGCGAAGGCAGCUUUCUGGAUCAUUACUGACACUGAGGUGCGAAAGCAUGGGUAGCGAAGAGGAUUAGAUACCCUCGUAGUCCAUGCCGUAAACGAUGUGUGCUAGACGUUGGAAAUUUAUUUUUCAGUGUCGCAGCAAAACAUU
RNAcentral lists this ribosomal RNA (774 nucleotides) under uncultured Pelagibacterales bacterium. RNAcentral's name for it is "SSU rRNA". It matches the Rfam family "Bacterial small subunit ribosomal RNA", at positions 38 to 861 of the family's 1533-position model. The record is from RNAcentral. Lineage: Bacteria; Pseudomonadati; Pseudomonadota; Alphaproteobacteria; Candidatus Pelagibacterales.